UAAUAACAAAAUGAAAGGAAAUCUGAACUACAGAGAAGAAAAGGCAAAAGAAUUUUUACGUCAAGGUUUUGUAAAGGAGAUCGGUUUGUUCGACUAUGACGCUUGGUGUGGCCUUGAUACCCGAUUGAAUGCUUCAACCUUCCAGUGUAUACCCAGAUUCUUGAGACUCCAUUUCACCUUCAUCACGGGUUUCCCUUAUUUCAGAUACCUUUGCGCUUGCAAAAAUGGGUUAUUGUUGCUGAGUUCAAAGCGGAAAUGGCGGAAUCUGAACCAAUACGAAUCAAAAUCGAAUCAAGGAUCCAUGCAUCUUGUUUGACGAAUCAACAUGAACGAGUUUCGCAGGCUUUGUAUGCGGAUGACAUGUUGAUGAGGCUAAUGAAAAGCAGAGAGGGUUUGUUUCGAGUUUAGUUUGUUGAGUUGUAGAUCGGAAACCGGCAGAGAUGAACGGUGGUUGGAAGUUGUCGUGGUCGAAGACGACGAGAAGAUCUGGGUUAAUGGGUGUUGGAUAGUUGGUGGUUAAGAGGUUCGUCGGCGGUGAAGAGAUGGAGGGUGGGGCGAGGGUUUUGUUGGUUUGAGUGGAAGGAAGAUGAAGGGGUUGUUUAGGGGGUUUCGUCGGUGGGUUUUGUGAAGGUGAUUGGAGCUGAAGGAGAGGUGGAUUUAGGAUUUGGUAGUGGUUGAAGGAGAUUGAAGGUGGUGGUUUGGUGGUAGCGUCUGGGUUUUGAAGAGAGUGGAGGGCGCUCUAUCAGUGAGGCGGCUGAAGGUGAGGGUUUGUGAGGUUUUUUUUCUGUGAGAGAUUUUCUGUUGUGAGCGUAUUGUGAGGAAUAUGAGAGGGUGGGAG
Molecule: long non-coding RNA, 838 nt
Filed under: Lathyrus oleraceus (garden pea)
Lineage: Eukaryota; Viridiplantae; Streptophyta; Magnoliopsida; Fabales; Fabaceae
Description: Pisum sativum (pea) long non-coding RNA (PSAT_LNC009657)
Source: RNAcentral